This is a non-coding RNA of Monodelphis domestica (gray short-tailed opossum), 1189 nucleotides long. The record is from RefSeq and is a predicted model, not a curated record. NCBI's taxonomy places the organism in Eukaryota, Metazoa, Chordata, Mammalia, Didelphimorphia, Didelphidae.
GUAGGAGUCCAUGCAGGGAGCCAGCUUCAGGUCUGCCCCUAGCAAGAUAAGAUAACUGGAGUCUACUAGAGAAGUUAAGUCCCUUCUCCAGCAUCACACAGAUUUUUCAAGGACUAUUGCAGUCACCAUACAGUCAUCUACAAACACAAAGCCCAUCUCCAGGAAUAUUUUUUCAUCAUGAGCACUGUACUGGAUAUCCUCCAUGCCAGUGAACAGAAUGCCAAAGAUCACUGGAAAAAAAAAGAAAAAGACAACAAAAAUAUAAAAAGAAGGACAACACUCAGGUCUAGCCCUGCAAGAGCUUUUGGCAAAGUUGGAAUGAUAAGGAUGAAGUAGUUCUAAUGAGUUCAAUUUUCUCGUCUCUUCUUGAUGUGGUGAGAUGGGAGGCUGUCGUAAGGACAAGUCCUAUCACAUCUGGAGUAUUGUGCUCAAUUCUGGGCAUCUCACUGAAGAAAGGACAUUGAAAAGCUGAGGGGGAGAGUGACCAGAAUGAAAAGAGCACAGAAACCAUGUCACAUGAGGAUCAUUUGAAAGAAUGGGAAUUUUUACCCUGGAAGAGAGAAGAUUUAAGGGAGAGAUGAUAGCUGUCUGCAGGAUGAAAGUAAUUUGUUUUGAUUUGGUGGUAAAGAAGAGUGUGAAUAUCAGACAGUUGUCCAAGGAAUGAGAAAAGGCACUGAACAGCAAGUCUGGACACCUACCUUUGCCUCAUUAUGGGUCUGUAGAAUCUCAGAAUUGGAAGGAGCUUGGGAGGCCAUCUAAUGUCCAACUCUCCAAAUGUCCAAAUAUCCGUCUACAACAGCUCCAAGAAGUGAUGGUCCAACCUUUGUUAGAAGAAUUCCAAAGUGGGGAAUCCACUCACCUCCCAAGGAAACCCAUUGUACUUUUGAACAGCUUAUUUUCUAAAGUGUUUUCUAAACUCAAGUCUAAAUCUGCCUAUCUUUAAUUUCCACCCAUUGCUCUUUGUUCUUUCCUUUUUUUUUGUUCUAAGCAAAACAAAUCUAAUCUCUCUUCCAUGUAAAAGCCCUUCAAAGACUUGAUGAUUGAUUGCCUAUAAGACUUUUGUUUUUCUUUCCUUUCCUUCUCUGCCUCAUUUCCUCCAAGUAUUGUAUCAAUUUGUAUAUAUCAGUAUUUCAGUGAAACUGUUUUCUCAUUGAGUCUGACAUUGCUUCCCUUGGUACGGAUCACAACC